RNAcentral lists this ribosomal RNA (492 nucleotides) under uncultured bacterium. RNAcentral's name for it is "partial 16S ribosomal RNA". It matches the Rfam family "Bacterial small subunit ribosomal RNA", at positions 29 to 507 of the family's 1533-position model. The record is from RNAcentral.
AGUGAACGCUGGCGGUAGGCCUAACACAUGCAAGUCGAACGGCAGCACAGUAAGAGCUUGCUCUUACGGGUGGCGAGUGGCGGACGGGUGGGGAAUACAUCGGAAUCUACUUUUUCGUGGGGGAUAACGUAGGGAAACUUACGCUAAUACCGCAUACGACCUACGGGUGAAAGCAGGGGAUCUUCGUACCUUGCGCGAUUGAAUGAUCCGAUGUCGGAUUAGCUAGUUGGCGGGGUAAAGGCCCACCAAGGCGACGAUCCGUAGCUGGUCUGAGAGGAUGAUCAGCCACACUGGAACUGAGACACGGUCCAGACUCCUACGGGAGGCAGCAGUGGGGAAUAUUGGACAAUGGGCGCAAGCCUGAUCCAGCCAUACCGCGUGGGUGAAGAAGGCCUUCGGGUUGUAAAGACCUUUUGUUGGGAAAGAAAAGCAGCAGGUUAAUACCCCGCUGUUCUGACGGUACCCAAAGAAUAAGCACCGGCUAACUUCGUG